UACGUAGGGGGCUAGCGUUGUCCGGAUUUAUUGGGCGUAAAGAGCGUGUAGGCGGCCAUGUAGGUCUGCUGUGAAAACUCGAGGCUCAACCUCGAGACGUCGGCGGAAACCAUCUGGCUAGAGUCCGGAAGAGGAGAGUGGAAUUCCUGGUGUAGCGGUGAAAUGCGCAGAUAUCAGGAGGAACACCGGUGGCGAAGGCGGUUCUCUGGGCAUGUCCUGACGCUGAGGAGCGAAAGUGUGGGGAGCGAACAGG
Molecule: ribosomal RNA, 253 nt
Filed under: uncultured bacterium
Lineage: Bacteria
Description: partial 16S ribosomal RNA
Rfam family: Bacterial small subunit ribosomal RNA
Source: RNAcentral